RNAcentral lists this ribosomal RNA (467 nucleotides) under Neoernsta arabica. RNAcentral's name for it is "partial 28S ribosomal RNA". Lineage: Eukaryota; Metazoa; Porifera; Calcarea; Clathrinida; Dendyidae. The record is from RNAcentral.
GUGAAAAGAACUUUGGAGAGAGAGUUAAAAGCACGUGAAGCCGUUGAAAGGGAAACGCGCUCGGCUAGCAAUGUGCCACGGAGGUUCAGCCAGUUUGCGGGUGGAGCAGGCGAUCGCCGGAUCCGAACGGACCGCGAUAGUCGGCGUCUGCCCGCGAAGUGCGGUGCACUCUUUCGUGGCACGCGUCAGCGUCGGUUCGGGGCCGGCGACAAGGCACGGACGGAAGGUAACUCGGGGCUUGCCCUGAGUGCUAUAGCCACCGUGCUGGGUCGGCCGCGGACCGAGGAGAGAGAGGAUCGCUGCAGCGCAUGCCGUAAGGCUAGCUGCCCGCCGUCCGGCUUGCUCCACGGGCUGAGGACUGCACGCAGUGUUCGGCUUGGCGGGGUGGUCUGGCGGUGGAGCGGUAUAAAUGCGCUUAGGACGCUGGCGUCCAAAUGGCCGUGCGCGACCCGUCUUGUAACACGGAA